CAGAGGGAUAGCCCAGAGAAAUUUGGAUUAAUACCUCAUAGUAUAGUACAACCGCAUGGUUGAACUAUUAAAGUCACAACGGUGAAAGAUGAGCAUGCGUCCCAUUAGCUUGUUGGUAAGGUAACGGCUUACCAAGGCAACGAUGGGUAGGGGUCCUGAGAGGGAGAUCCCCCACACUGGUACUGAGACACGGACCAGACUCCUACGGGAG
RNAcentral lists this ribosomal RNA (211 nucleotides) under uncultured bacterium. Its description in RNAcentral is "partial 16S ribosomal RNA". It matches the Rfam family "Bacterial small subunit ribosomal RNA", at positions 136 to 347 of the family's 1533-position model. The record is from RNAcentral.